This 506-nucleotide ribosomal RNA is filed under the name uncultured bacterium. RNAcentral's name for it is "partial 16S ribosomal RNA". It matches the Rfam family "Bacterial small subunit ribosomal RNA", at positions 28 to 546 of the family's 1533-position model. The record is from RNAcentral.
GACGAACGCUGGCGGCGUGCUUAACACAUGCAAGUCGAACGGAAAGGCCCUGCUUUUGUGGGGUGCUCGAGUGGCGAACGGGUGAGUAACACGUGAGUAACCUGCCCUUGACUUUGGGAUAACUUCAGGAAACUGGGGCUAAUACCGGAUAGGAGCUCCUGCUGCAUGGUGGGGGUUGGAAAGUUUCGGCGGUUGGGGAUGGACUCGCGGCUUAUCAGCUUGUUGGUGGGGUAGUGGCUUACCAAGGCUUUGACGGGUAGCCGGCCUGAGAGGGUGACCGGCAAAGUUGGGAGGGAGAGACGGCCCAGAGACGUAGGGGAGGGAGAGGGGGGGAAUAUUGCAGGUGGGGGGGCGGCGUGAGGCAGCACGGCGGCGUGCGGGAUGACGGCCUGGUGGUUGGAAACGGUGUUGCACUGGGAGGAAGCUGGAGUGAGGGGAAGGGAAAAAGAAGCAGCGGCUAACUACGCGCCAGCGGGGGGGGUACGGCGAAAGAGCACACCAUGACC